GGAAGAAAAUCUUCCUGGGAUGAGGUCACUGUGGAUUCCCGAUGUCCCGGUACUUGUGCAGGACAACUUGGUGUGCCUCACCCGAUGGGACACCCAGCGUCACUUCUCAGAAGCUAUUCAUCACCGCCACCCCCACCUCUGUUGUGGCCUAUGCGGUCUCACCCACCGCCACCACCACCACCACCAGUUACAGCACUCGCACAGUCCAUUUGCCACAUGAAGGGGCCCCUCAGCUGUGGCAAUGAUGUGUUUAGAGAAGAUGUCAGAGGUGCAUUACGGCCCGAAUGUUUCCCUGCUCCAACCUGCCCCCUCUGCUGUUCUCUCUAUUGUCACCCCUAAUGAAAUUGUCACAGUUCUCUCUGUGUCAGUGUCUGCUUCCUGGAGGACUAGUGGUCACACCCUCUUGAGGGCACGCAGUGAUUCACGGGCACACAACUCACAAACCAGCAGGAACUAAGAUGACAGGGCAGA
Molecule: long non-coding RNA, 471 nt
Organism: Camelus dromedarius (Arabian camel)
Lineage: Eukaryota; Metazoa; Chordata; Mammalia; Artiodactyla; Camelidae
Exons: 3
Source: RefSeq, a predicted model, not a curated record